This 889-nucleotide ribosomal RNA is filed under the name uncultured soil bacterium. RNAcentral's name for it is "bacterial SSU rRNA". It matches the Rfam family "Bacterial small subunit ribosomal RNA", at positions 56 to 963 of the family's 1533-position model. The record is from RNAcentral.
UGCAGUCGAGUGCGCGGUUGUAGCAAUACAACUGGCGCACGGCGCACGGGUGCGUAACACGUGGGUAACCUGCCCUUUGGUGGGGAAUAACCUCGCGAAAGCGAGGCUAAUUCCGCAUAAGAUCCGCAAGGAUGAAAGCCGUAAGGCGCCGAAGGAGGGGCCCGCGCACGAUUAGCUAGUUGGUAGGGUAACGGCCUACCAAGGCGAUGAUCGUUAGCUGGUCUGAGAGGAUGGCCAGCCACACUGGAACUGAGACACGGUCCAGACUCCUACGGGAGGCAGCAGUGGGGAAUCUUGCGCAAUGGGCGAAAGCCUGACGCAGCGACGCCGCGUGGGGGAUGAAGCUUCUCGGAGUGUAAACCCCUUUCGACUGGGACGAAUACCUCGCAAGAGGGGUGACGGUACCAGUAGAAGAAGCCCCGGCUAACUACGUGCCAGCAGCCGCGGUAAGACGUAGGGGGCCAGCGUUGUUCGGAAUUACUGGGUGUAAAGGGUUCGUAGGCGGUGUGGCAAGUCGGGAGUGAAAUUUCUGGGCUUAACUCAGAGACUGCUUCCGAAACUGCUGUGCUGGAGUGUGGGAGAGGCGCGUGGAAUUGCAGGUGUAGCGGUGAAAUGCGUAGAUAUCUGCAGGAACACCCGUGGCGAAAGCGGCGCGCUGGACCACUACUGACGCUGAGGAACGAAAGCUAGGGGAGCAAACAGGAUUAGAUACCCUGGUAGUCCUAGCCCUAAACGAUCAGGACUUGGGGUGCCACCCGUUCGGGUGUCGUCCCGGAGCUAACGCGUUAAGUCCUGCACCUGGGGGGUACGGUCGCAAGACUGAAACUCAAAGGAAUUGACGGGGGCCCGCACAAGCGGUGGAACAUGUGGUUCAAUUCGACGCUACGCG